ACGAACGCUGGCGGCGUGCCUAAUACAUGCAAGUAGAACGCACAGUUUAUACCGUAGCUUGCUACACCAUAGACUGUGAGUUGCGAACGGGUGAGUAACGCGUAGGUAACCUGCCUGGUAGCGGGGGAUAACUAUUGGAAACGAUAGCUAAUACCGCAUAAUAUUAAUUAUUGCAUGAUAAUUAAUUGAAAGGUGCAAUUGCACCACUACCAGAUGGACCUGCGUUGUAUUAGCUAGUAGGUGAGGUAACGGCUCACCUAGGCGACGAUACAUAGCCGACCUGAGAGGGUGAUCGGCCACACUGGGACUGAGACACGGCCCAGACUCCUACGGGAGGCAGCAGUAGGGAAUCUUCGGCAAUGGACGAAAGUCUGACCGAGCAACGCCGCGUGAGUGAAGAAGGUUUUCGGAUCGUAAAGCUCUGUUGUAAGAGAAGAACGGGUGUGAGAGUGGAAAGUUCACACUGUGACGGUAUCUGAACAGAAAGAGACGGCUAACUACGUG
Molecule: ribosomal RNA, 504 nt
Filed under: uncultured bacterium
Lineage: Bacteria
Description: partial 16S ribosomal RNA
Rfam family: Bacterial small subunit ribosomal RNA
Source: RNAcentral